RNAcentral lists this ribosomal RNA (253 nucleotides) under uncultured bacterium. Its description in RNAcentral is "partial 16S ribosomal RNA". It matches the Rfam family "Bacterial small subunit ribosomal RNA", at positions 524 to 776 of the family's 1533-position model. The record is from RNAcentral.
UACAGAGGUCUCAAGCGUUGUUCGGAUUCAUUGGGCGUAAAGGGCGCGUAGGCGGCGAGGUAAGUCGGGUGUGAAAUCUCAGAGCUCAACUCUGAAACUGCACUCGAUACUGCUUUGCUAGAGGACUGGAGAGGAGAUUGGAAUUCACGGUGUAGCAGUGAAAUGCGCAGAUAUCGGGAGGAACACCAGUAGCGAAGGCGGCACUCUGGGCCGGUACUGACGCUGAGGAGCGAAAGCGUGGGGAGCGAACAGG